CACGGGAGUGCAAGUGGGCGAAUCGCCAGCUUGUUGCUGAUUUCCAGAAUGUGCUAUUGGAGAACCGAGUCUCUGGAAGACUUGAAUUGAAAUUGUCUGAGGAAGAAUUUGAUCCAGUGGGUGGUGGCCUGGUGAUCUGGUGAAACUUCCACAGCUCUGAGGAACUGUCCUUCUCUGCAGUCAGCAUGCAAAGCUGCUCAGUAUCUGAGCCAUGGGACAUGAGAGCC
Suricata suricatta (meerkat) is the source of this 227-nucleotide long non-coding RNA. RefSeq lists it as uncharacterized. The record is from RefSeq and is a predicted model, not a curated record. The transcript is spliced from 3 exons. Lineage: Eukaryota; Metazoa; Chordata; Mammalia; Carnivora; Herpestidae.